CCUACGGGAGGCAGCAGUGGGGAAUAUUGGACAAUGGGGGGAACCCUGAUCCAGCCAUGCCGCGUGUGUGAAGAAGGCCCUCGGGUUGUAAAGCACUUUCAGUGAGGAAGAACGCCUGGUGGUUAAUACCCAUCAGGAAAGACAUCACUCACAGAAGAAGCACCGGCUAACUCCGUGCCAGCAGCCGCGGUAAUACGGAGGGUGCGAGCGUUAAUCGGAAUUACUGGGCGUAAAGGGCGCGUAGGUGGCUUGAUAAGCCGGUUGUGAAAGCCCCGGGCUCAACCUGGGAACGGCAUCCGGAACUGUCAAGCUAGAGUGCAGGAGAGGAAGGUAGAAUUCCCGGUGUAGCGGUGAAAUGCGUAGAGAUCGGGAGGAAUACCAGUGGCGAAGGCGGCCUUCUGGACUGACACUGACACUGAGGUGCGAAAGCGUGGGUAGCAAACAGGAUUAGAUACCCUGGUAGUC
Molecule: ribosomal RNA, 465 nt
Filed under: Vreelandella stevensii
Lineage: Bacteria; Pseudomonadati; Pseudomonadota; Gammaproteobacteria; Oceanospirillales; Halomonadaceae
Description: partial 16S ribosomal RNA
Rfam family: Bacterial small subunit ribosomal RNA
Source: RNAcentral